AGUAUAGUCCUGAGCAAAGUAUCUGAAACAAGAAGCAUGUGACCACCUGGGCACAUCAUUUUUCUACCUGAGUGGUACUUGGUGUACUAAAGAGAUUAUGGGAUGCAGCACACUUAGACAAGGUGGAAGAAUCUGAGUGGGUCUCAUCACGUUGGAGUUGGUUUUUAUGGGAUAUGGAAAAGAGGCCCGGAUUUCUUCUGAGAGCAGGAGUAGCUGAGGAGCCCUGUGGCAACAGAGCUCGUGAACUACACUUGUGUGAGAAGACAGGCUGGAAUACAAACAGAAGCUUGCACGAGUAACCCAGGUCCGCAAGGAACUGAAAUCCCAUAUUCAGAGCUUGCCAGACCUCUCACUGCUGCCCAACGUCACAGGGGGCUUAGCCCCCCUGCCCUCUGCUGGGGACCUGUUUUCAACUGACUAGGAUGGGUGUCAUGUCCCAGAUUUCUGUUUGUACCAGCAGAAAGAAGAGGGCAAGUCAUGGUUGGAAAUAACCUUCUAGCCCCUGGUUCUAUCCCUUCUUCCGCCCAGCCCCCCAGCCUCAAGAAAGAACCUCA
This 554-nucleotide small RNA is filed under the name Pan troglodytes (chimpanzee). Its description in RNAcentral is "processed transcript". The record is from RNAcentral. Lineage: Eukaryota; Metazoa; Chordata; Mammalia; Primates; Hominidae.